Long non-coding RNA from Lagenorhynchus albirostris (white-beaked dolphin), 1185 nucleotides. RefSeq lists it as uncharacterized. The transcript is spliced from 3 exons. Lineage: Eukaryota; Metazoa; Chordata; Mammalia; Artiodactyla; Delphinidae. The record is from RefSeq and is a predicted model, not a curated record.
GCUAAACCAGCCUUGGGUCCUUGCCUUUCUGCCCUUGGUGUCCGUGCUCAUUGACACUGAGCUGUGAGUUCCCCGGUUCUCUGUCCCACUGAUUUUCUCCAUUGUUCUCCAAUCUGGUGCUUAUAGGAAUUCACCCAUGUCCCUGAGGCGAAACCACGUGCCAGUGGCUGACGCCUCUGACCCCAAUGACUAAGACAAAGCCUCCAAGGUCCAGGAAGCGAUGGGUAACUUUCAUGCAGACCAAGGACAGCGCUUGCUGUGACCCCCCCAGCCUCUGCAUGUCCCCUGCUGCUACCCUCCCAGGGCACCUCCCCUGCUCGUGCCCACACACCUGGACCCCAUCCCUUAGCUCUGUCUUGCCUUUCUCAGUGCUUCCAAACGCUGGAGGAGAGAGGAGCCUAUUUCCAUUCUGACCACUUUAUAAGAACCAGAGGGCUCUUAGAGAGGUUUUCUGGGAUUUGGAAUUGACCCUUGGUCUUGACACACUCUGGCGGAUAGGCCCCUCCUCCAGCCUAAGCCAGUCCUCUUUCUCUUACUGCUGGAGAGCAAAGCAAGCAGCCAAAGCGGAUUCCUGUGGGGACUGUUCUGUUCCUCCUCUGCUCCAGGGGCUGGCUUCAGAGACGGUCCCUUUGUCAUGCAUAUUGCACCGGCCACGCCCACGCCCAUGUGGCCACAGCCCCCCCUCUGCUGCGCCACGCCCCACCCCCACCCAGCAGCGCGUGGGCUGCCCCGGGGCCACCGAAUGCCUGGGAUGCCGGCUGCAGUGACAGAGCGGCCCCGAUCCCUCACGGGAGUUUUGACCGAGGCAGCAUUUGGGAUCGCUUAUGAGCUGAAAUCUUUACAUUUUGUCCCCAGUUUUAGGCUGAAGUAAAGAAUGCCUGCCUUUUCCAACCACCAACCCUUGAACUUCUAAGACAAAGGGACCACACCCUUGGAUUAUGAUCUAACUAGGCUAUGAAUUUGAGUUCAGUAUAGUCCUAUAGUUACACAAGGUGUUACUUCUGGGAGAAACUGCCUGAAAGAAUGCUGUGUGGUACCCUGGAUUGGAUCCUGGAACAGAAGAAGGACAUGAGUAGAAAAACUAGAAAACCCAAGAAAGAUCUUUAACAUUUGCCAAUGUUAAUUUCUUAGUUUUAACAGCUGUACCAUGGUUGUGUAAAACGUUAACAUUUAAAAGAAACUGGA